RNAcentral lists this ribosomal RNA (433 nucleotides) under uncultured bacterium. RNAcentral describes it as "partial 16S ribosomal RNA". It matches the Rfam family "Bacterial small subunit ribosomal RNA", at positions 29 to 507 of the family's 1533-position model. The record is from RNAcentral.
AACGAGCGCUGGCGGCAUGCCUAACACAUGCAAGUCGAACGAGACCUUCGGGUCUAGUGGCGCACGGGUGCGUAACGCGUGGGAACCUGCCCUUAGGCUCGGAAUAACUCCCCGAAAGGGGUGCUAAUACCGGAUAAUUUCUUCGGACCAAAGAUUUAGCGCCUUUGGAUGGGCCCGCGUUGGAUUAGCUAGUUGGUAGGGUAAAGGCCUACCAAGGCGACGAUCCAUAGCUGGUCUGAGAGGAUGAUCAGCCACACUGGGACUGAGACACGGCCCAGACUCCUACGGGAGGCAGCAGUGGGGAAUCUUGGACAAAGGGCGCAAGCCUGAUCCAGCAAUGCCGCGUGAGUGAUGAAGGCCUUAGGGUUGUAAAGCUCUUUUACCCGGGAUGAUAAUGACAGUACCGGGAGAAUAAGCUCCGGCUAACUCCGUG